AAGGUUUUAAGUUAAAUAUUAAACCAAUAAUCUUCAAAAUUAUUUAUAAAGAAAUCUUCUUUAAACCUUA
Molecule: transfer RNA, 70 nt
Filed under: Phocoderma betis
Lineage: Eukaryota; Metazoa; Arthropoda; Insecta; Lepidoptera; Limacodidae
Description: tRNA-Trp
Source: RNAcentral